This 537-nucleotide ribosomal RNA is filed under the name uncultured bacterium. Its description in RNAcentral is "partial 16S ribosomal RNA". It matches the Rfam family "Bacterial small subunit ribosomal RNA", at positions 355 to 880 of the family's 1533-position model. The record is from RNAcentral.
UGGGGAAUAUUGCACAAUGGGCGCAAGCCUGAUGCAGCCAUGCCGCGUGUGUGAAGAAGGCCUUCGGGUUGUAAAGCACUUUCAGCGAGGAGGAAGGUGGUGAGCUUAAUACGCUCAUCAAUUGACGUUACUCGCAGAAGAAGCACCGGCUAACUCCGUGCCAGCAGCCGCGGUAAUACGGAGGGUGCAAGCGUUAAUCGGAAUUACUGGGCGUAAAGCGCACGCAGGCGGUUUGUUAAGUCAGAUGUGAAAAUCCCCGGGCUCAACCUGGGAACUGCAUUUGAAACUGGCAAGCUAGAGUCUCGUAGAGGGGGGUAGAAUUCCAGGUGUAGCGGUGAAAUGCGUAGAGAUCUGGAGGAAUACCGGUGGCGAAGGCGGCCCCCUGGACGAAGACUGACGCUCAGGUGCGAAAGCGUGGGGAGCAAAACAGGAUUAGAUACCCUGGUAGUCCACGCUGUAAAACGAUGUCGAUUUUGGAGGUUGUGCCCUUGAGGCGUGGCUUCCGGAGCUAACGCGUUAAAUCGACCGCCUGGGGAG